RNAcentral lists this ribosomal RNA (330 nucleotides) under uncultured eukaryote. Its description in RNAcentral is "partial 18S ribosomal RNA". It matches the Rfam family "Eukaryotic small subunit ribosomal RNA", at positions 1470 to 1796 of the family's 1831-position model. The record is from RNAcentral.
CCCUUAGAUGUUCUGGGCCGCACGCGCGCUACACUGAUGCAUUCAACGAGUCUAAACCCUGGUCUGAUAGGGCUGGGUAAUCUUUUGAAAGUGCAUCGUGAUUGGGAUAGAUGAUUGCAAUUCUUCAUCUUCAACGAGGAAUGCCUAGUAAACGCAAGUCAUCAGCUUGCAUUGAUUACGUCCCUGCCCUUUGUACACACCGCCCGUCGCUCCUACCGAUUGAAUGAUCCGAUGAAUACCUUGGAUUGAGAGUACGAAUGGGUUCGCUCAUUUCUGCUGCUCGAGAAGUGGAGUAAAUCUUAUCAUUUAGAGGAAGGAGAAGUCGUAACA